This 525-nucleotide ribosomal RNA is filed under the name Ludioschema sp. UPOL RK0024. RNAcentral describes it as "partial 16S ribosomal RNA". The stretch from base 389 to 525 matches the Rfam family "Bacterial large subunit ribosomal RNA", at positions 2473 to 2610 of the family's 2925-position model. Lineage: Eukaryota; Metazoa; Arthropoda; Insecta; Coleoptera; Elateridae. The record is from RNAcentral.
CAUGUCUUUUUGAUUAUAAUUUAAGGUUUAAUCUGCUCAAUGAGGAUUUAAAUUGCCGCGGUAUUUUGACCGUGCAAAGGUAGCAUAAUAAUUAGUUUCUUUAUUGGAAGCUGGAAUGAAUGAUUGGACGAGAAAAUUACUGUCUCUUAAUAAUUUAUUUUUGAAUUUAAUUUUUAAGUUAAAAAGCUUAAAUUUUUUUUAAAGACGAGAAGACCCUAUAGAGUUUAAUAAGUUAAUUUUUUUUAUUUUUUUGGUAUUCUUUAAUUAAUAAAUUUGUGCUUAUUUGGUUGGGGUGACUAAAAGAUUAAUAAAACUCUUUUAAGUUUAUAAUCAUUGAUUUUUGAAUGAUGAGCCUGAUUUUUUCAAGUUUAAUACAAAUUACCUUAGGGAUAACAGCGUAAUUUCUUUUUAGAGUUCUUAUUGAAAUGGAAGUUUGCGACCUCGAUGUUGGAUUAAAAUUUAUUUAUGGUGCAGAAGCUUUAAUAUUAAGUCUGUUCGACUUUUAAAAUUUUACAUGAUCUGAGU